AGAUUAAGUUAUUAAGGGCGCACGGUGGAUGCCUUGGCACUAGAAGCCGAUGAAGGACGUUACUAACGACGAUAUGCUUUGGAGAGCUGUAAGUAAGCGUUGAUCCAGAGAUUUCCGAAUGGGGAAACCCAGCAUGAGUUAUGUCAUGUUAUCGAUAUGUGAAUACAUAGCAUAUCAGAAGGCAGACCCGGAGAACUGAAACAUCUUAGUACCCGGAGGAAGAGAAAGAAAAAUCGAUUCCCUGAGUAGCGGCGAGCGAAACGGGAAGAGCCCAAACCAACAAGCUUGCUUGUUGGGGUUGUAGGACACUCUAUACGGAGUUACAAAAGUAUAUAUUAGACGAAUCAUCUGGAAAGUUGAAUCAAAGAAGGUAAUAAUCCUGUAGUCGAAAAUAUAUACUCUCUUGAGUGGAUCCUGAGUACGACGGAGCACGUGAAAUUCCGUCGGAAUCUGGGAGGACCAUCUCCUAAGGCUAAAUACUCUCUAGUGACCGAUAGUGAACCAGUACCGUGAGGGAAAGGUGAAAAGUACCCCGGAAGGGGAGUGAAAAAGAACUUGAAACCGUGUGCUUACAAGUAGUCAGAGCCCGUUAAUGGGUGAUGGCGUGCCUUUUGUAGAAUGAACCGGCGAGUUACGAUUUGAUGCAAGGUUAAGCAGCUAAUGUGGAGCCGUAGCGAAAGCGAGUCUGAAUAGGGCGUUUAGUAUUUGGUCGUAGACCCGAAACCAGGUGAUCUACCCUUGGUCAGGUUGAAGUUCAGGUAACACUGAAUGGAGGACCGAACCGACUUACGUUGAAAAGUGAGCGGAUGAACUGAGGGUAGCGGAGAAAUUCCAAUCGAACUUGGAGAUAGCUGGUUCUCUCCGAAAUAGCUUUAGGGCUAGCCUCAAGUGAUGAUUAUUGGAGGUAGAGCACUGUUUGGACGAGGGGCCCUUCUCGGGUUACCGAAUUCAGACAAACUCCGAAUGCCAAUUAAUUUAACUUGGGAGUCAGAACAUGGGUGAUAAGGUCCGUGUUCGAAAGGGAAACAGCCCAGACCACCAGCUAAGGUCCCAAAAUAUAUGUUAAGUGGAAAAGGAUGUGGCGUUGCCCAGACAACUAGGAUGUUGGCUUAGAAGCAGCCAUCAUUUAAAGAGUGCGUAAUAGCUCACUAGUCGAGUGACACUGCGCCGAAAAUGUACCGGGGCUAAACAUAUUACCGAAGCUGUGGAUUGUCCGUAGGACAAUGGUAGGAGAGCGUUCUAAGGGCGUCGAAGCAUGAUCGCAAGGACAUGUGGAGCGCUUAGAAGUGAGAAUGCCGGUGUGAGUAGCGAAAGACGGGUGAGAAUCCCGUCCACCGAUUGACUAAGGUUUCCAGAGGAAGGCUCGUCCGCUCUGGGUUAGUCGGGUCCUAAGCUGAGGCCGACAGGCGUAGGCGAUGGAUAACAGGUUGAUAUUCCUGUACCACCUAGUAUCGUUUUAAUCGAUGGGGGGACGCAGUAGGAUAGGCGAAGCGUGCUAUUGGAUUGCACGUCCAAGCAGUAAGACUGAGUGUUAGGCAAAUCCGGCACUCAUAAGGUCAAGCUGUGAUGGGGAGAGGAAAUUAUUUCCUCGAGUCGUUGAUUUCACACUGCCAAGAAAAGCCUCUAGAUAGAUAACAGGUGCCCGUACCGCAAACCGACACAGGUAGUCAAGAUGAGAAUUCUAAGGUGAGCGAGCGAACUCUCGUUAAGGAACUCGGCAAAAUGACCCCGUAACUUCGGGAGAAGGGGUGCUCUUUAGGGUUAAC
RNAcentral lists this ribosomal RNA (1766 nucleotides) under Vibrio vulnificus. RNAcentral describes it as "bacterial LSU rRNA". It matches the Rfam family "Bacterial large subunit ribosomal RNA", at positions 1 to 1765 of the family's 2925-position model. Lineage: Bacteria; Pseudomonadati; Pseudomonadota; Gammaproteobacteria; Vibrionales; Vibrionaceae. The record is from RNAcentral.